GCCGUUUUAGCUCAGUCUGGCAGAGCACCGGACUUUUAAUCCGGAGGCCGUGGGUUCAAGCCCCACAAGCGGCACCA
RNAcentral lists this transfer RNA (77 nucleotides) under Caudoviricetes sp. Its description in RNAcentral is "tRNA-Lys". It matches the Rfam family "tRNA". Rfam says of the family: Transfer RNA (tRNA) molecules are approximately 80 nucleotides in length. Their secondary structure includes four short double-helical elements and three loops (D, anti-codon, and T loops). The record is from RNAcentral. Lineage: Duplodnaviria; Heunggongvirae; Uroviricota; Caudoviricetes.